UGGCGAACUGGUGAGUAACACGUGGGUAACCUGCCCAGAAGAAGGGGAUAACACCUGGAAACAGAUGCUAAUACCGUAUAACAACAAGAACCACAUGGUUCUUGUUUGAAAGCUGGCCUUUGUGCUAGUGCUUCUGGAUGGACCCGCGGCGUAUUAGCUAGUUGGUGAGAUAAUAGCUCACCAAGGCGAUGAUACGUAGCAGACCUGAGAGGGUAAUCUGCCACAAUGGGACUGAGACACGGCCCAUACUCCUACGGGAGGCAGCAGUAGGGAAUCUUCCACAAUGGACGAAAGUCUGAUGGAGCAACGCCGCGUGAGUGAAGAAGGGUUUCGGCUCGUAAAACUCUGUUGUUAGAGAAGAACAGCCGUGAGAGCAACUGCUCACGGUAUGACGGUAUCUAACCAGAAAGUCACGGCUAACUACGUGCCAGCAGCCGCGGUAAUACGUAGGUGGCAAACGUUGUCCGGAUUUAUUGGGCGUAAAGGGAGCGCAGGCGGUUUAUUAAGUCUGAUGU
RNAcentral lists this ribosomal RNA (515 nucleotides) under uncultured Lactobacillus sp. RNAcentral's name for it is "bacterial SSU rRNA". It matches the Rfam family "Bacterial small subunit ribosomal RNA", at positions 96 to 595 of the family's 1533-position model. The record is from RNAcentral. Lineage: Bacteria; Bacillati; Bacillota; Bacilli; Lactobacillales; Lactobacillaceae.